RNAcentral lists this ribosomal RNA (497 nucleotides) under uncultured bacterium. RNAcentral's name for it is "partial 16S ribosomal RNA". It matches the Rfam family "Bacterial small subunit ribosomal RNA", at positions 28 to 507 of the family's 1533-position model. The record is from RNAcentral.
GAUGAACGCUGGCGGCGUGCCUAAUACAUGCAAGUCGAGCGAACGGACGAGAAGCUUGCUUCUCUGAUGUUAGCGGCGGACGGGUGAGUAACACGUGGGUAACCUACCUAUAAGACUGGGAUAACUUCGGGAAACCGGAGCUAAUACCGGAUAAUAUUUUGAACCGCAUGGUUCAAAAGUGAAAGAUGGUCUUGCUGUCACUUAUAGAUGGAUCCGCGCUGCAUUAGCUAGUUGGUAAGGUAACGGCUUACCAAGGCAACGAUGCAUAGCCGACCUGAGAGGGUGAUCGGCCACACUGGAACUGAGACACGGUCCAGACUCCUACGGGAGGCAGCAGUAGGGAAUCUUCCGCAAUGGGCGAAAGCCUGACGGAGCAACGCCGCGUGAGUGAUGAAGGUCUUCGGAUCGUAAAACUCUGUUAUUAGGGAAGAACAUAUGUGUAAGUAACUGUGCACAUCUUGACGGUACCUAAUCAGAAAGCCACGGCUAACUACGUG